RNAcentral lists this ribosomal RNA (638 nucleotides) under uncultured Pseudomonadota bacterium. RNAcentral's name for it is "bacterial SSU rRNA". It matches the Rfam family "Bacterial small subunit ribosomal RNA", at positions 28 to 648 of the family's 1533-position model. Lineage: Bacteria; Pseudomonadati; Pseudomonadota. The record is from RNAcentral.
AACGAACGCUGGCGGCGUGCCUAACACAUGCAAGUCGAGCGCGAAUGGAGCAAUCCUAGUAGAGCGGCGCACGGGUGCGUAACACGUGGGUAAUCUGCCCAGAAGUCCGGAACAACCUGCCGAAAGGCUGGCUAAUACCGGAUAAGCCUACGGGGACUUCGGUCCCUGAAGGAAAAGGUGGCCUCUGUAUACAAGCUAUCGCUUCUGGAUGAGCCCGCGGCCCAUCAGCUAGUUGGCGGGGUAACGGCCCACCAAGGCAACGACGGGUAGCUGGUCUGAGAGGACGAUCAGCCACACUGGAACUGAGACACGGUCCAGACUCCUACGGGAGGCAGCAGUGGGGAAUUUUGCACAAUGGGCGAAAGCCUGAUGCAGCAACGCCGCGUGUGUGAUGAAGGUCUUCGGAUCGUAAAGCACUUUCGACCGGGAAGAACACCUUUUGGCUAACAUCCAAAGGCUUGACGGUACCGGGAGAAGAAGCACCGGCUAACUCUGUGCCAGCAGCCGCGGUAAUACAGAGGGUGCAAGCGUUGUUCGGAAUUAUUGGGCGUAAAGCGCGUGUAGGCGGCUUUGCAAGUCGGGUGUGAAAGCCCUCAGCUUAACUGAGGAAGUGCGCCCGAAACUGCAUGGCUUGAGUA